Molecule: ribosomal RNA, 354 nt
Filed under: uncultured bacterium
Lineage: Bacteria
Description: bacterial SSU rRNA
Rfam family: Bacterial small subunit ribosomal RNA
Source: RNAcentral
UGAUGAAGGCCUUCGGGUUGUAAAGCCCUGUCGGGAGGGAAGAAUUUUGACGGUACCUCCCAAGAAAGCACCGGCUAACCCCGUGCCAGCAGCCGCGGUAAUACGGGGGGUGCGAGCGUUGCUCGGAAUCACUGGGCGUAAAGCGUACGCAGGCUGUUGUACAAGUCGGGUGUGAAAGCCCGGGGCUCAACCCCGGAAUUGCGCCCGAGACUGUAUGACUUGAAUGCGGGAGAGGGAAGCGGAAUUCCUGGUGUAGAGGUGAAAUUCGUAGAUAUCAGGAGGAACACCAGUGGCGAAAGCGGCUUCCUGGCCCGACAUUGACGCUCAUGUACGAAAGCGCGGGGAGCAAACAGG